GACAAGAAAUAACAAUACGGGGCUUAAAGUCUUGUAAUUGGAAUGAUGGGAAUUUAAACCUCUUCCAGAGUAUCAAUUGGAGGGCAAGUCUGGUGCCAGCAGCCGCGGUAAUUCCAGCUCCAAUAGCGUAUAUUAAAAUUGUUGCAGUUAAAAAGCUCGUAGUUGAAUUUCUGCUGCAUUACAUAUCUCUUGUUUGAGUUUGUUUUUGUGGCUUAUUUCGGUUUGAUUUUUUUAUCUUUCCGGAUGAUUACUUUGAGAAAAUUAGAGUGCUCAAAGCAGGCUUUUGCCUUGAAUAGUUUAGCAUGGAAUAAUAAAGUAGGACUUUGGUUCUAUUUUGUUGGUUUUAGGUACCAAAGUAAUGGUUAAUAGGAACAGUUGGGGGCAUUCGUAUUUAACUGUCAGAGGUGAAAUUCUUAG
Molecule: ribosomal RNA, 417 nt
Filed under: Theileria orientalis
Lineage: Eukaryota; Apicomplexa; Aconoidasida; Piroplasmida; Theileriidae
Description: SSU rRNA
Rfam family: Eukaryotic small subunit ribosomal RNA
Source: RNAcentral